UACGGAGGGUGCAAGCGUUAAUCGGAAUUACUGGGCGUAAAGCGUGCGUAGGUGGUUGAUUAAGUUAUCUGUGAAAUCCCUGGGCUUAACCUGGGCAGGUCAGAUGAUACUGGUUGACUCGAGUAUGGGAGAGGGUAGUGGAAUUUCCGGUGUAGCGGUGAAAUGCGUAGAGAUCGGAAGGAACACCAGUGGCGAAGGCGGCUACCUGGCCUAAUACUGACACUGAGGCACGAAAGCGUGGGGAGCAAACAGG
RNAcentral lists this ribosomal RNA (253 nucleotides) under uncultured bacterium. RNAcentral's name for it is "partial 16S ribosomal RNA". It matches the Rfam family "Bacterial small subunit ribosomal RNA", at positions 524 to 776 of the family's 1533-position model. The record is from RNAcentral.